Molecule: non-coding RNA, 5126 nt
Organism: Meleagris gallopavo (turkey)
Lineage: Eukaryota; Metazoa; Chordata; Aves; Galliformes; Phasianidae
Source: RefSeq, a predicted model, not a curated record
UUGCGGGGGGGAGAAAAUUGCAAAAGUAGCGGGAAGGAUGCAUAAGGCAGGAGAGCGGGGUUUGGGGAACGUGCAGGGAAGCGGUUCCCCGUGGCUGAAAUACCUCGGUUUGGCACCGCCCUCCUGCAGGCUGCGGAAGGGACAACGGCUCCAGUCUUUGUUUUAGGUGUAAAACAGCAGAGCACCCCCUGCUUGGCGUCGGGUGUUAGUCCACCUCCAUCUGCCCGACUGGACCCGUUACUGAGAGGUGCAUAGAAAGCCAAAUGCUUACGUUUAGACACCCACAUCCCAGGCAGAGCUCAGAGCCAGCAGCUCCUGAAGGGGAACACGAAGCCCAGCAGCACACCCUGCCCUGUGCCGUGCCCUGCUGACUGCAUGAGCAAGGACCUCUCCUGAAGGAACCACAAUCUGCCCCCUCCGUUUUUAUUAUUUCUUUUUUUUUUUUUCCAAAGGUUUUUAAUGAAUGUGGGAGAGACAGGUUUGGAACAGCAUUGGGGUGAUGGCAGAGGAAGUUCUCUGAAGUAAUCUGGGGGCAGUGCCAAGAGUCAUUCCAGUUCUCAGAAAAAUAACCAGUUACUGCUUAUGUGCUGGGAGCUGAAAGAUUGAUCAUUUUUGCUGCCAACAUUUACAGUCAGUCCUGACCAUGACAGUAGAUCAAAUGCAUGUACUUUUCUGGACAGCUGACCUGGUUUGAACUCAGUGAGUGUUACUCUCAACGAUGACUACAUUUUUGGAAUAAAUACUUUCCUAUAAUUUUUUAAAGCAACCAUAACCUCACCAAGCACUAAGUGGCCUUUCAGGACUGUUUCAAACACCUGGUGCCCUUGAUGCCUCAGGGAAUUGUUCAGACCCCACAGGUGUGACUAGCUGGUGAAAUGAGAUGAAACAGCUGGACUGAGACAAGCCACAAAGAAGUCGCUGGCCUGUUCUGCAGUUGGACAUUGAUCUGAACGAGAGUAACUUCCAGCUGGUGCCAGUGGGAGAAACAAUUUGAUCCUUUCUCUGUGCUCGGCUCCUAUUCCUUUCUCACUUUUGGCUUGCGUGCAGCAGGAAGGCAGUUAGAAAUAGCUGUUCUUACAUGCUUAGGCUGUUUGAUUUUGGAACUUGGCGCUGGUUUUACUGGAGAUAGAAGAGCACCCACAAGCAGAGAAUGAAACAUCCCAUCCCCAGGCAGAGCUGUAAUGGGAGAAAGGAGUGAAAGGAAGCCUGACCUGCUGGAAAACUGGGACAAGUCCUGGAGACAACAAUCAGCCUUCCAAACAAAGGCAUUAGAAGUCAUGCUAUGCCUUUUUAUGAAAGAAUCAUCGUAACAGCACACAUUUUAAAAGAACAGCAAGCAGUGCAGGAGUGCUUGUUACUAGCCUGUAUGCAGUUUAUCCUGAAGGACUGGAUACAUUAAGGCUUGCAGGGAUUAACACGAGCGCUUACGGCUGAAGCCCCCUCAAUGAAUUCCGUUCACAUUGACGCAGACUCUGAAAACUCCAGUCCAACACACGCCGCAGUCACAAUGGCAGGCUUUUCAUUCAGAUGGCUAUAUGAAGUACCGGUCUGGACAGAAUCAACUCCUCUACUGUCUGGUUUAUCUCCGUCUUCUAUGCUUACACCUAAUUAUUUGGAAAUUUAGACCAACUCCAAGACAUUCAGACUGUCAGAGAAAAAUUGCAUUCUUCAAAAUCUGGGAAGGGAUGGCUUCAGUUUUCAAAAAGAAACAAAGUUCAUCACAGCUAUGGAAGCACUGGCAAGUGAAGCAGUGACCAGCUAAGAGGAAUGGAAAGACUACAGCAAAUAACUGAGCCGUACUGAGUCUGUCUGCUUCAGCAAUGGAUGCUGUUCUUCUAAGGGGCUGGCAUGUACCACCUACAAUUUGAGACACACAACUACUUUCUGCUGAGCUCCACAGAGGUGAAGUCCUUCUAAUGAUGUUGCUACAUACUUCACUAUUACUGCCUGAGUUUGCACAUCAUGCAGGUGGAUUCCAGAUGCAACCCUUCAGUCCAAGCUGCUCUUUAAAAGCACAAGCAGCAUCAGGUGUGGCCAAUGCAUCCUACGUGACUGUCAUCUGCCCCUGGGAACACAGGCGACCUGAAAGCAGUGUCUCUGUUGGGCAGCUCGUCCUGCUGCCAGCUGGUAGCACAGCACCAGGAGCUGAGCAGUGCUGGCUAACAGACAGACAGACAGACAGACUGACUGCUGCUCACGGGCACAGCACAGACAACGCGUCCCUCCUGCACGUGGCUCACAGCAGUUCCCUUUCCUUGAAAUUAGUCAGGGGAUUUCUUAGAAGUUCCAAUCCAUAUCUGCAGAGAUCAAACCUACUGCUUCUGCAGGACUUUCCUGCUGCUGUAAGAAACGCUGUGACUCAUCACCAAGAAAAGGUGGGCCCUGCAGAUGACAAAUGAUGCUUUCAUAGUCUUCAGUAGCAAAGGUACCAGCAGUGAGCCCGUGGUGAGGGAAGGGCUCUUGGAGAGAAAAGUGAAAAGGUAUUAAGUUUGCUGAAUAUAAAUGAACACAGAGGCCCCCACAAAGGGUAGCAUCUUAAAAAUGCAUACGUGGGAAUUAUUUAAAUAAACUGAUAUCAAAUAAGUCAUGGGAGAACUGCUAUAAUGAAAAGGGAGGUCUUUGUUUUGAAAUAAGACUUCCUUGAGAUAGAGGUUUAAUCUCUUAUAACCCAGAACUGCCUUCACUCCUCCAUUGUUUUUCUGAAACCCAGUUGUUGAAUAUUAAUUCCUCCGUAAUAGCAGACUAAGUAUGACCAGAUUUCAACAAUGAAAGACCUAAAGGAAUAAUUAACGAACAAUGGACUCUUCUAUUACAAGGAAACGAUUAUCCACACCAGAACUGAAUUAGCAGAAUUUUCUGACAAACCAGAGCUGUUUGCUACAGCAGGGAGCACAGAGGGAUGGAGGCCAUCAGCUUUCCCAGUUCUACAGUUACUGAAGUUGGCACUGCUGUGACAUAGGAUCUAACCCACAGAGCUGAGGGGCAUCCACCACAGAGAACAGGUGGGCUACAGCAUGCUGCAGCAGCACUUCAUCUCAUCCCUUUUGACUGCAGGCAUAAAGGAAGACAUAACAGAAACGGGAUCUGCAGCUGCAAGUAUUUUAUCCAAAUAAAUGCUCGAUGGAACCCUUUGUCCUAACGUGGCACAAAGCCACCAACACAGCCAAGGGCAGGCUGCAGAACAGAAUGGAAUCCUUAUGGAGAAGGCAAGGGGCAGGUUUCUUACAUGCCAGGUUUUUCUCCCUCUAAUUAAUUCAAAUGUUUACAGGUUCUACCUGAGAAAUAAUCCAGCCACCACAAUCACUGAACAAAAGUCAAAAGACCACACUGGGGAGGAAAGGUACAGAAACCCUGAAAUGGCCAUACCUACACGGCUGGGAAAGCUGCAGAAUCUUUUGGGAACAGCCCCUCAGCAGCUGUAACUUCAACACUGACUCAGUCAAUGUUCAGUGCUGAGACUUCUUCCAUUAAGGACUGCACCACACCACUACCUGUCAUAAUGAAGAUGUAUUUCUUAAUACAUAUAUAAAAAAAAAAAGGCAGCAUUCAAGUUAUGGCUUCUGGACUGGCAGGAGGAAGGGUGAGAAGUGGGCUUCAGUACACCAAGAAAAAAGUUGCUCGUGCUUUCACUUUCACAAAACCUGUUUUUCACAUUAUUUCUCCUGAAAUAAAACACCUCAGAGACACUGUACCCAUUCUAUUUCUGAAGGAGCAGCAAUUACACUUCUAUAUGGAUAAGCAUCUAAACUGCGUAUCUAAAAUGCAUCCUCAUGUUUGCUCUAGGAAACAGAUCUACCUCCUUUGAGCACCUUCAAUGCAAAUUAAUUAGCUGUAGCCACAACUUAAGGCCAAAAACACAUCCCUAGAUCAGCAAAACAGUUUCAGUUUCUUGUUGAGUGAAAAAUGGAAAGCAUUUGCACACUUCCACUUUCCUAAGUCAUACCCUUCCUCACCUCCAACAAUCCCUACAUGUCAGAGGACUCAAAAAGUGGUUCAGAUAAGAAGCCAGAAGUAUAUCAUUAUAAAUUAAAUGACAACUGGCAGUCUAGAUUGCCUAUUAUUAUUAACUUUGUAUCACUAUGAAUCUCACUGUCAACAAUGGUUCUGAACCUCAGACAUAUAUAUACACACAAUAUCAACUUACAAAAAUAUAAAUGUAAUAAUUUUAUAUAUACAUAUAUAUACUAUUUAUGUUUAGCUAUACGUAAAAUACUUGAAAAUACGUGCAGAAUACACAGAACUGUAUUUUCAUCAAAAAACCUUCUCUCUACCUCCAAAGUGGGUCUCAAACAACAGCACUGCAGGAAUGACACACCAGUUAUUAUUUCUCUCUUUCACUAUCUGGGCCCUUUUCAGCAGCAGUUACUCAGAACCUCAAUAGGAAAUGUUGGUAUUUAUCCCUUGGUGGGCUGCUUCACUGCCAGCAAAGCCACCUUUAGGACACGUACCAGGACUGGACAGAAAACUGAAAACAUGAGGACCUCACCAGGUAGAAAAGGGGUAUUGCUUCUGACCGGUCCUACUAAAAGUCCCUCUCAACAAGAGCAGCUGUGUGAGCUGAGGCUCCGUGAGGAGGACCUGCUGCCAUACCACCUGUGUUUACAGGCUUGUGCUUUCUCUUGGCUUUAGUUUGAACUGAUGGACACCAGCUCCAGUCCGGAGUGACGAACUGAGUACCCAUUAAUGAACAGAAACAUAUGGAGCACCUCUGUAACGUACUUCUGCUUAAAUUCAUCCAAAAAAGAAUCCGGUUUAUUUCAUCAGGGUCUGCUGUGGAGAAGGUAACACCACAGUAUUAAUGGAGGAAGCUUUAAGCAGUUCUCCUGCAUUUGGUGGCAACAGUGGUGCUUAACAGAAACACAUAAUGAGCAGAAACGUAAAACUAAUCUUUGCAUAGCAGUGAACUGAAAGAUUUUUCAAAUUAUAUUUUGCAAUUUUUGCAUCUGAUGCAGCUGAGAGCCUGCAAAGAAGCCUGCAGCAGUACAAGAGAGAAGAAAGGGGAGCAGCUUUGGAGGAGAGCUGACAGAAGUGUUUGGUGGAAGCAGGAAAGAGGGAAGUUGCUCCGGUUGGAAUUCAGGAUAUAAACAAAUUUCAAGAGAGAGUGAUUUUAUUUUAAAGAAAUUUCA